This 274-nucleotide ribosomal RNA is filed under the name uncultured bacterium. RNAcentral describes it as "partial 16S ribosomal RNA". It matches the Rfam family "Bacterial small subunit ribosomal RNA", at positions 523 to 796 of the family's 1533-position model. The record is from RNAcentral.
AUACGGAGGGUGCAAGCGUUACUCGGAAUCACUGGGCGUAAAGCGCGCGCAGGCGGGCUGAUAAGUUGGAUGUGAAAGCCUACGGCUCAACCGUAGAACUGCAUCCAAAACUGUCAGUCUAGAGUCUGAGAGGGGAAGAUGGAAUUAGUUGUGUAGGGGUAAAAUCCGUAGAGAUAACUAGGAAUACCAAAAGCGAAGGCGAUCUUCUGGAACAGUACUGACGCUGAGGCGCGAAAGCGUGGGGAGCAAACGGGAUUAGAAACCCCAGUAGUCC